AAGACUAUACUGUCUCCUUUUUAUAAUCAGUGAAACUGAUCUUCCCGUGAAGAAGCGGGAAUUAUUAUAUCAGACGAGAAGACCCCAUGGAGCUUUAAGUCAAACACCAACUGCUAUACUAAAUCACUAUAACUUUGGCAGAUCUGACUGUUAACUUUCGGUUGGGGUGACCACGGAGUAAAAUAAAACCUCCACAAUGAAUGAACCAAAUCCUAAUUCAAGAAUUACACUUCUAAAAAUCAAGACAUUGUCUUUUAUUGACCCAAGCCUUUGAUCAAUGAACCAAGUUACCCUGGGGAUAACAGCGCAAUCCAUUUCAAGAGCUCCUAUCGACAAAUGGGUUUACGACCUCGAUGUUGGAUCAGGGUAUCCUGGUGGUGCAACCGCUACUAAAGGUUCGUUUGUUCAACGAUUAAAACCCU
This 422-nucleotide ribosomal RNA is filed under the name Cardioglossa melanogaster (Amiet's long-fingered frog). Its description in RNAcentral is "partial 16S ribosomal RNA". It matches the Rfam family "Bacterial large subunit ribosomal RNA", at positions 2007 to 2597 of the family's 2925-position model. The record is from RNAcentral. Lineage: Eukaryota; Metazoa; Chordata; Amphibia; Anura; Arthroleptidae.